AGAUCAAAUAGUUGGUCGUGCCUUGGUACGCACUGGCAUUAUUGGUUUCUCCCUUCUGACGAAUCAUGAUGUCAUUAAUUUGGUGUCUUGGGGAAUCAGGACUGUUACUUUGAAAAAAUUAGAGUGUUUAAAGCAGGCUCACGCUUGAAUACAUUAGCAUGGAAUAAUGAAAUAGGACGUUUAAUUCUAUUUUGUUGGUUUCUAGGAUUGACGUA
Molecule: ribosomal RNA, 215 nt
Filed under: Campeiostachys nutans
Lineage: Eukaryota; Viridiplantae; Streptophyta; Magnoliopsida; Poales; Poaceae
Description: Elymus nutans partial small subunit ribosomal RNA
Rfam family: Eukaryotic small subunit ribosomal RNA (bases 46-215)
Source: RNAcentral